UUUUUUUUUGAUUUUUUUGUCUAUCCGCAAUCAUACAAUUAUUUUAUAUUUUUUUGCGCCAUAC
This 64-nucleotide small RNA is filed under the name Arabidopsis thaliana (thale cress). RNAcentral describes it as "ATSL231410". The record is from RNAcentral. Lineage: Eukaryota; Viridiplantae; Streptophyta; Magnoliopsida; Brassicales; Brassicaceae.